UCCCAGCAGCUUGAGUGAGGCAGGGGGGUGGAACGGUGCCUGAAAAAGAAUCCUGUUCCAGAGCCACUGUUUUAGCAUUCCCUGCUAGCCAUGGACACUUCCCCCUUAGUUACGUCUUUUUUUCUCCCCAUCCUUCGCAGCUGAUUUUUGGGAGCCAGCAUCCACAGCAAAAACACUGAUGUCACUGACAUGGCACCUGCACUUUGGGUCUCUCUGCCAUUCUCUUUGGUGAUUGGAAACAGAGGUCAAGAGAUCUGCUGGAGCUGUAGGCAGGCCCCUCUUCUUCAGCCAUUGCUGUGUGGAAUUGGCUCACGCCUCUCUCUUGCCACCUCAUUCCUCCUCUGGCCCAGUUAUCAAAGUGAAGAACUCCGAGAGGACUGGGAAGGAUGCUAGACUUCGAUGUUCUAAAACUUGUUUGUUGUGUUUUAUUUUUAGAAUUGAUGUGUUUCUAACAGGUGGGGGGAGAGAAGAAAGAGGAAGCAGAGAAUGGGGAGAACAGAUUCAAUGGCUCCCAAGUAAUCCAUUGUCAAAACUUGCAAUUUGCUCUGCAAACCCCUUUGCCUGUUUCCUGUUACAGCCCUGAGGUGCUUGUAGUACAAAUCAAUCUACUUGAAAGCUAAGGCAGGAGUGAAGGAUGAAAAUGUAUACGUUUUCCAAACAGGAGGUAGAGACCAGGCAGGAAAUUAAGCCCUUUUAAUAUGGUAAGACCUAAACUUGAUUAUCAUUUGGUAAAAACAACCGGACAAAACAUUUAGAUUUAGUGGGCUUUUUUUUUUAUUUUGGGUAAAACUAUUUCUCAGCUUUUAAAUGGAUUAGCUGGGAUGUUGUACUCCUGAGUGUCUGUGGGGCUGCUAUGGGUGUCAGAUGCCAACAGAACUUUAGAAAUGCUGUCGUUUACUUUUGCACUGAAGUAAUGGAGGAAAAUUCUAUCCAGACUACUUUUAAUCAAAUAUAAAUUUUAUUUGCUGUAGUAUGUAUAUUAAAUAGUUAAACUUGGUUCA
Chelonoidis abingdonii (Abingdon island giant tortoise) is the source of this 1001-nucleotide non-coding RNA. NCBI's taxonomy places the organism in Eukaryota, Metazoa, Chordata, Testudines, Testudinidae. The record is from RefSeq and is a predicted model, not a curated record.